Molecule: long non-coding RNA, 202 nt
Filed under: Homo sapiens (human)
Lineage: Eukaryota; Metazoa; Chordata; Mammalia; Primates; Hominidae
Description: non-protein coding lnc-ZNF678-3:1
Source: RNAcentral
UUUACCUGGAAAGGAUCUUGACUUAUGCUGAAAUUGACAUUUGUCCAUCUAACUGGAAAAGGAUUUCCUUGGGAGUCAUUCUUUUUGCCUCCAAGAUUAUGCAUGAUCAAGCUGUACAAAGUGGAAAACUGUCAGAUCUUCAAGGAUAUCCCAGUAAAAGACAUGUGAGUUUAUAAGGUUUUGUUAAACUUUCUAACCGUUU